UACGAAGGGGGCUAGCGUUGCUCGGAAUGACUGGGCGUAAAGGGCGCGUAGGCGGUUCAAACAGUCAGAUGUGAAAUUCCCGGGCUCAACCUGGGGGCUGCAUUUGAUACGUUUGGGCUUGAGUGGGGAAGAGGGUCGUGGAAUUCCCAGUGUAGAGGUGAAAUUCGUAGAUAUUGGGAAGAACACCGGUGGCGAAGGCGGCGACCUGGUCCUUUUACUGACGCUGAGGCGCGAAAGCGUGGGGAGCAAACAGG
RNAcentral lists this ribosomal RNA (254 nucleotides) under uncultured bacterium. RNAcentral's name for it is "partial 16S ribosomal RNA". It matches the Rfam family "Bacterial small subunit ribosomal RNA", at positions 524 to 776 of the family's 1533-position model. The record is from RNAcentral.